This 490-nucleotide ribosomal RNA is filed under the name uncultured bacterium. RNAcentral's name for it is "partial 16S ribosomal RNA". It matches the Rfam family "Bacterial small subunit ribosomal RNA", at positions 30 to 505 of the family's 1533-position model. The record is from RNAcentral.
AGUGAACGCUGGCGGUAGGCCUAACACAUGCAAGUCGAACGGCAGCACAGUAAGAGCUUGCUCUUACGGGUGGCGAGUGGCGGACGGGUGAGGAAUACAUCGGAAUCUACUUUUUCGUGGGGGAUAACGUAGGGAAACUUACGCUAAUACCGCAUACGACCUACGGGUGAAAGCAGGGGAUCUUCGGACCUUGCGCGAUUGAAUGAGCCGAUGUCGGAUUAGCUAGUUGGCGGGGUAAAGGCCCACCAAGGCGACGAUCCGUAGCUGGUCUGAGAGGAUGAGCAGCCCCGAGGGAAAGAAAAACGGCUCGGGGCCCCAGAGGGGGGCAGGAGGGGGAAAUUUGGGAGAAGGGGGGAAACCUGAACCAAGCCAUGCCGCGGGGGGAAAAAAGGCCUCGGGGUUGAAAACCCCUUUUGUGGGGAAAAAAACCCAGCCGGGUAAUCCCGGGUGGGGAUGGGGGAACCAAAAAAAAAAGCCCGGGCAAAAUUCG